Molecule: ribosomal RNA, 479 nt
Filed under: Olavius algarvensis associated proteobacterium Delta 3
Lineage: Bacteria; Deltaproteobacteria
Description: bacterial SSU rRNA
Rfam family: Bacterial small subunit ribosomal RNA
Source: RNAcentral
AACUGACACACGGUCCAGACUCCUACGGGAGGCAGCAGUGAGGAAUUUUGCGCAAUGGGGGAAACCCUGACGCAGCAACGCCGCGUGAGUGAUGAAGGCCUUCGGGUCGUAAAGCUCUGUCAAGUGGGAAGAACCCACAUGGUUCCAAUAAAACCAUGUGCUGACGGUACCACUGAAGGAAGCACCGGCUAACUCCGUGCCAGCAGCCGCGGUAAUACGGAGGGUGCAAGCGUUAUUCGGAUUUACUGGGCGUAAAGGGCGCGUAGGCGGUCUCUUAAGUCAGAUGUGAAAGCCCGGGGCUUAACCCCGGAAGUGCAUCUGAUACUGGGUGACUUGAGUAUGGGAGAGGGAAGUGGAAUUCCUGGUGUAGAGGUGAAAUUCGUAGAUAUCAGGAGGAACACCGGUGGCGAAGGCGACUUCCUGGACCAAUACUGACGCUGAGGCGCGAAGGCGUGGGGAGCAAACAGGAUUAGAUACCC